GAUGAACGCUGGCGGCGUGCCUAACACAUGCAAGUCGAACGAAGUAUAUAUAGGAAGUCUUCGGAUGGAAUAUGUAUAACUUAGUGGCGGACGGGUGAGUAACGCGUAAGUAAUCAACCUGUGACACACGGAUAACUGAUAGAAAUGUCAGCUAAUACGAGAUGAACUGUUUAAAUUGGGAAAUGGAAACAGCAAAGCGAAAGCGGUCACAGACGAGCUUGCGUCUGAUUAGCUAGUUGGUGGGGUAAGAGCCUACCAAGGCGACGAUCAGUAGCCGGCCUGAGAGGGUGAACGGCCACAUUGGAACUGAGACACGGUCCAAACUCCUACGGGAGGCAGCAGUGGGGGAUAUUGCACAAUGGGGGGAACCCUGAUGCAGCAACGCCGCGUGAGUGAAGAAGGCCCUAGGGCCGUAAAGCUCUGUCGUAUGGGAAGAAACAAAUGACUUACCAUACAAGAAGCCCCGCA
This 468-nucleotide ribosomal RNA is filed under the name [Eubacterium] yurii. RNAcentral describes it as "bacterial SSU rRNA". It matches the Rfam family "Bacterial small subunit ribosomal RNA", at positions 28 to 497 of the family's 1533-position model. The record is from RNAcentral. Lineage: Bacteria; Bacillati; Bacillota; Clostridia; Peptostreptococcales; Filifactoraceae.